This 489-nucleotide ribosomal RNA is filed under the name uncultured bacterium. RNAcentral describes it as "partial 16S ribosomal RNA". It matches the Rfam family "Bacterial small subunit ribosomal RNA", at positions 30 to 507 of the family's 1533-position model. The record is from RNAcentral.
UUGCACGCUGGCGGCAGGCCUAACCCCUGCAAGUCGAACGGUAACAGGGAUCAGCUUGCUGAUUCGCUGACGAGUGGCGGACGGGUGAGUAAUGUCUGGGAAACUGCCUGAUGGAGGGGGAUAACUACUGGAAACGGUAGCUAAUACCGCAUAACGUCGCAAGACCAAAGAGGGGGACCUUCGGGCCUCUUGCCAUCGGAUGUGCCCAGAUGGGAUUAGCUAGUAGGUGGGGUAACGGCUCACCUAGGCGACGAUCCCUAGCUGGUCUGAGAGGAUGACCAGCCACACUGGAACUGAGACACGGUCCAGACUCCUACGGGAGGCAGCAGUGGGGAAUAUUGCACAAUGGGCGCAAGCCUGAUGCAGCCAUGCCGCGUGUAUGAAGAAGGCCUUCGGGUUGUAAAGUACUUUCAGCGGGGAGGAAGGGAGUAAAGUUAAUACCUUUGCUCAUUGACGUUACCAGCAGAAGAAGCACCGGCUAACUCCGUG